UGAUGAUGGUGAGGGCAAUUUUUGAGCAUACCCUUAAAUCUCUCCAAGCUUGGUAGAUAUUCUCUCCUUUUAUCUUCUGAAACUCAAGAUCUCACUCCUCAAGCG
RNAcentral lists this small nucleolar RNA (105 nucleotides) under Capsicum annuum. RNAcentral describes it as "Plant small nucleolar RNA R71". It matches the Rfam family "Plant small nucleolar RNA R71". Rfam says of the family: R71 is a member of the C/D box family of snoRNAs containing the C (UGAUGA) and D (CUGA) box motifs. Multiple nearly identical copies of this snoRNA have been identified in Arabidopsis, and it is thought to function as a 2'-O-ribose methylation guide for 18S ribosomal RNA. Lineage: Eukaryota; Viridiplantae; Streptophyta; Magnoliopsida; Solanales; Solanaceae. The record is from Rfam by way of RNAcentral.